UUACUAUCGAUCUUUGAAUCUCGAAUAUCGUGAUUUGAGUAUCGACGUUGCGCAGCUGAGUUCGUGUAUUCCACAGAUGGAAUUGUAUGUCAAGGAGAGCAUUGAUAGAGAGAAAUGAGAUACAACAAUCGUGUAAAUCAAGAAAUUACCUAAAAAAGACGCGAGAAAAUAUAGCUGGGAAGAAUUUCUUCAGGCUUAACCAUAACAUAACUAAAAGUUUCUUAGUGUGUUUACGACCGACGUUAAUAAUAGACGGUACAAGAGAAUUAGUAAAAAUGCACCGUUCUAAAUCGACCAAGAAAAAAUUCUCUCCAUCAAAACCAGUAAAACGUCAAAUGAACACUGUUCCUAAAUAAUUUAUUUUUGAUUAUCUCAUUUUUUAUACCGAAAAUGGCUUCGUCAACUAAGAGAUCCUGGAAAUUACAGGAUUUUGCUGCUCAUACAUCAAACGUCAACUGUCUAGCAUUGGGUCAUAAAUCUGGCCGAGUGUUAGUUACCGGCGGUGACGAUCGUAAAGUCAACUUAUGGGCCGUUGGAAAGCACAACUGUAUUAUGAGCCUGAGUGGACACGCGACAGCAAUAGAAUGUGUUCGUUUCGGUCAAACGGAAGACUUAGUUUGCGCUGGAUCACAGACCGGUGUGCUAAAAAUUUGGGAUCUGGAGCAUGCAAAGCUUGCCAGAACUCUGACGGGACAUGGAAAUGGUAUUAGAUGCAUGGAUUUUCACCCCUAUGGAGAAUUAUUAACAUCGGGAAGUCUGGACAAAGCAAUAAAGUUGUGGGAUAUGAGAAGAAAGGGGUGUAUAUUCACUUACAAAGGCCAUACAGAUACUGUCAAUAGUUUAAAAUUUAGUCCUGACGGACAGUGGAUAGCCAGUGCUGGAGCAGAAGGGAAAGUCAAGCUCUGGGACUUGCGAGCAGGAAAGCAAUUGAGAGAGUUUUCUGAACACAAAGGAUCGGUAACAACUGUCGAAUUUCAUCCUCAUGAAUUUCUUUUAGCCAGUGGUAGUACAGAUCGUACUGUCCAUUUCUGGGAUUUAGAAUCAUUUCAAUUGGUUUCUUCCACGGAACAAUCACAGUCCACGGCAAUUAGGAGUCUCUACUUUAGUCAAGGCGGAGAGUGUCUUUUUGCUGGUAGUCAGGAUAUUUUGAAGGUUUACGGGUGGGAACCAACACGAACGCUUGACUCAGUACCAACAGGUUGGGGAAAGGUUCAAGAUAUAGCUGUUGCACAAAAUCAAUUGAUCGGAGCUUCUUUUCACAUAGCAAAUGUAGUCCUGUUUGUUUGCGAUUUAAAAAAAGUCGCCCCAUUCGGAGGUAUCCCUACACCUGGGUCACCCUUUAGUCACGGCAACUCGUUGAGGAAAAGUUUUUCUAAAGAGAGACCUCCCGAAUUGAAGAAGCACAAAUUAGACGUUAAAACAAUAGAGGAAGCAGACAAGUCUGGUACAGAUCCUGAGGAUGAAGUGAUGCUAGCUGAAAUACCAAAUGUCACAGAUUACAGAGAUGUCUUUCAACCAAACAGGUCUUUAUCUCGCACGCCUCCCCCUGAAUUAGAAGCUUUUGUCGAACCUGAAGAAUUGGAUCCUACACAGCCGCAAAUACUUCAAACACUGUCAACGUCAUUGUCAAAUUUGAAUACAAAUGAGUUGGAUGAAGAGCCACCAUCAAUAAUGAAGCCAGUACCAGUGCGUGUUCAUCCCAUAAAAUCUUCUCCACCAGUCCAGCGUAUCUUGAUAACUUCUACAAGCCAAAUAAGAGCAAAUCUCCAGGCAAACAAUGCAAGCAAAAAUUCUAGAAAUAUAUCAACAAUCCCGCCACUUCGACAAAGUAUUACGCCACUGCUUAGCAAGAAGAAUGUUGGAAAUCAACCCUUGGGACCUCAGAGAUCAAACUCAACUUUGACACCUCGAGUCGCUCCUAUGGCUGCCAUAUCUCCGGUAAUGGAUGAUGGUAAAAUUAAAAGCAGAGCGCCCAGUCCAGAUUCUCCUAAACAUUGCCUGAAGAGGCAAAGCAGUUGUAAAGAGCGAGAACAGGGCUACGAAAGUGAUUAUCCGAUACAGAUAAACAACAUUAAACAUAGUCCGUCCGAUCCUGCUUUGAACCGGCCAAACACUGCUCAAUCACGGUCAACAUCGUUAAACAGAAAUUUUUCUAGUUCAACCCCUUUAUCAGCUCGGAAUGCAGUGAAAAAACAAAAUAAAGCUCAAAUUCAACCUAAUGUAAAGGUUGAAAUAAGGGUACCACAACUAAGGCCAGCAGUGGAAGAAAAGGUCAAAGAUGAAUUCGUUCCAAUGAUCGCUGACAAACCGAGUGGCCUUGACAUGGAUGAAUUUUUACCGAAUAGCUAUGGUGGCAGGGCAUUGGGUUACUCCCAAUUAGGCGUUCUCCCAGAAAUGUCAGAAGCCGAAGUACUGAACAGUAUGAUGCGUGGCUAUGAGUCCAUGAUGGCAGUACUUAACAGUCGUCAUAGAUCUCUGCAAAUUAUUUACUCGCUAUGGCACAGUAAAGACCUCAAGGCAGCGGUUGACUCCGCGGUAGCAAUGAACGAUUUAGCUGUUAUAGUCGACCUUUUAGGAGUUAUUACGCUUAAACCAACCAUUUGGAACUUGGACCUAUGUAAUUCUUUGCUUACCUCCAUUGGCGAUCUACUUCAAAGUAAAUACGAAAUUUGCAAAGAGGGAGAGGAGAGGAGGUCUUAUGACAUGUGCCAUUCUCACCAUCCUCACAUCCACACUCACUCCUCGAUAUCUUGCAAUCUUAAGACGGACGUCACAUGAGAAGUAACCACAGAAGAUGGUAUUUAAUGUAAUCCCGUCAUAUAAAUUCGAGGAAAUCGGAAAUCUCAGGCUUUCUUCACUCAUAAGUUACGAACGAUCGGAAAUGGAAAGAGCUAGUCGUGGCAUUGGUUAAGAUCAAGAGUCGUCGGGAAAAGAUGGUAGUUGACGAAGAAACGAGUGAAUCAGAAAGGUGCAGAUGCUUGAAGAAUUGUUGGCCAGAGAUCUACUCGGUUUCUCUGUGUUAUACCUACAGAUGAGAGUACAAUCAAUGAUUUUGCGCACAGUAGCUGAGAACACAGGGAUCGAUGCACUAUAGAGACGUGAUACUCCAGACGGGCCAAACGGUGUUCAAUAUCCUGAACCUGCAACAGCCUAUGUUUACUGGUUAGUCAGCACUCGGUGCAAUGCAGUUCGUUAUCUCAACGACGUGUGAGCCAACGUUCGAUGAUAGUAAUUAGACAGACUGCGUAACACUGGAACGACCGAAGUUGUACUCACAACGAGUAAAUAUCAUGCUUUCGACGAUGCGUAACGAGUACGUAAUGCACUUUUUACCUGCCGUUCGACGUUCAACGUUCGGAGAAGUGUGCAUGGCUUCGGGCAAAGGUAGGUAGGUACGAGGCACGAGGUCCACGUUGUACGGAGAGGAGCAUAUCGGUUGAUCCUUAGCCCGAAGACGCUACAGGAAACAGGAUAAUUCCUCGGCUCACGCAACCCUCCGUCCGAAAUUGGACUCUGGAGCACGUCGGCCUCCGACGACGAUGCCGUGCCCAUUGGGUUCAUUGCGUUGCCCACUUGCCACUCGGCCACUUGGCUCACACUGCCAACCAGCACCAGAUGGGCUUCGAUGUCUGACAUUCGACGUUUCUGUUAUGUACUUGACAGCUACCCAAAACCUGGCCGAGAUCCAGCUGCCGUAUAUCUCAUACAUGAUACGAUUAAACUAACUACGACUUGUUUUCUAAAUUCGUUUUCAGCCAGUCAAACCUGAUUUUUUGCAGUUCGAUCCGUUGCUCAAGAAUUGGAAGUUGUGGUACGCGUGACGUCUGAGGUUUGUUAAGGUCUGAACUUGAAAUUGGCAGUGAAAAUGCGAAGGACCUCCUCGUCAUUCGCCCUGGAUACCCAGCAAGGUUGAGGUCCUCGAGGGUCAGCCUGAGCAAACAAUCGGGCUAAUAAAUGGGUGGUGACUUCCGGCGUGGCGCGCGUCGGGGCGUCGAGACGUCGGAGCGUCGGGACGAUCGGUCUGCCACCCUCGGACUCUUAACUUGCAAGGAAUCGCGGGGGUUCUGGCCCCGUAUUCAGGCCCCAGUUGCUCAAGGGCGUAAAACGUCUAUUCUUUCUCAGAGGAUUAUUCAGCCGGAAGCUGUGGAAAGGAAGACGGAGGACGUUACUGUGAAGUCCGUUUGUUCACCGGAUGUUGGUAUCGGCGAGAUUUUCGGAUGAUUUAUUUGACGUCCAUCAACUAUUUGUCAAGAAUGUUUAGCCAGAAAGAAAAACAUCACGAAGAUGGGUGGUGUGUCGGGGUUCAAUACUGACGUAUCGAGCAAAAUGUACGAUGCCAACGCUGCUCGGGAAAAGCUGUUGCACCGUUCAGGGUUGCUAAGGACUGUAAAUACCUGCAGAUGAAAUAAGACGAUGCAUGAGCUGCUGAUAGAGUGAUGGAAUUUUGAGUAUAAAAGUAUGUCCCUUAUCCCCUGAUGGUGGUUCCGAUAGUUGGGAGAAGCGGGAACGAUUUGUUUGAAUUUGGUGUUUUUCAAAUAUACCAGAAUCUAAUUUCUAUCGUUGAACCUGUAACAAUUUCCAUUCUUAAAUAAAUAUGUAAUAAACGUCAGCAACUUAGACGAUGUCGUUCGAGGUAACGCUGAACGGCAAAGUAUAAAACGAUCAGCAUCGGAGCGACGCGACGCCUCGUCGAGAAGUACGUACCCAAAAUAGAUGAAAUUCUAUUAUCUUAACGGGUUCCUGGGACCCGGUGGAAAUCUCGUGGAAAACAGACGGCGUUUCCCGUAAGUCGUAUAAGGGAGGGAGAACUCGGGGUGUCCCGGAACCCGGCAGGGUAUUCCGUCGAUACGAGUUCGCGGGUGCGGAGCCGCGUCGUCGACCGGGCAACGAUAAAACCGACGGGUAACCCUGCGCCAGACAUCAGAGACGACGGGAAGUCAAACAAACACGUCCGCGCAUACACCUACUUUUAUUAUCAACAAAGUCUCGCUUUAUUACGAUGAGUUGUUUAGAUUUGAAACUGCUAUACGACCAUCCACCGCCCUCUCGCAUGCUGUGGCGCCCCCUGCGCCCGGCUCUUUGACGCGGCACCUCCGCGCCGACUCGGCCGCGACCUCCUCCUUAAUCCUUAAGGGGUGCCUUGGUCGAUUUCAACGCUGACGUAUGUACCUCAAAAUAUCGAAGUCCGCGUAUCUUCUCAAACGCAGCAACCAACGGCUCGACAGCCUCAUUCUAUAAGCAAUUCUGAACAAAAAUACUCCAAGGCAUUUUCGUUUGACGCAGAAACAAAGAAAAGGCUUGAAUUCUACAAAAUCGCAGUGGUAAAUUUCCAGAAUUCAUGUCAUUUAUUUAUUUAUGCGUCUAAUGAGAAUGUAACUAAGUGUUUUUGUUCGGAAUUGCGUGUAGAAUAGGGCUAUUAAGCCCUCUUUCGCUUUUAAGAUACGUAGACUUCGAUAUUUGGAGUUUACGCAUCAACGUCGAAAUCGACCAGAGGAUUCCCUUUAGAAAACGAGCGAGCGUCAGUUUCGUUUUCACUCGUUUCGGUGCCCCUUUGACGUCUACGAAUUACGAUAGAAGAGGAUUGAGGGGAGUGAAAAUGGAAAUAAUGAAAUUAGUCCGCUUACAGAAGACGCGCUCACAACUCAAUUUAACAUCGUUGCAUGAUAAACGAAUUCUUCUAGUUAGGCUGGAAAAUUAUUUCAUCACGUUUUGAACCAUUCGAAAAAUACGUUUAUGGUGCCUCCUUGCCCCUCGCUUACGCGGCGCUAUGAACUUCCGAUUCUUUAAGCUCGCUUCGAGCCAUUACGACUCCUCGUUAAUGCAUAAAUAGUUUGAGAAAGCAGAGGCGACUUGCGUCUUCAAAGUCCGUCUUGCCUAAUUUUUUUCUCUUAUCGUUCUCCGCCUCUCUGUUUCUUGACCUUUCUUUUAGUUGUUCUUCUCCUCUUUUGCGAUCAUUCCCACAAGUCACCCUGUACUUGAUUGUUUUCGGUAAACGCUUGCUAAAAAUGUAAUCUGUAUUGAAUACACGUCUGCAGUUUACACAACUUUAGCACAAGUACUUACUGGCUCUACAGUUCGGGCUUACAGUGCAGCUGUGUUCACGGUUCCACUAUCGUAUCCUGAUUGUUAAAUAGUAGACACGAGCCGCGGGCGGGCUUUAAGGUUUCGCCUCCCCUAUAAUUCGAUCAGAAACCCCUUCACUCCGUACAAUAAGGAGGUUUAGUUAUUUUGACGUCACGCUGUGAGAUCUCGACGCGUAAAAGUCCAUCGCUGUCGUCAGGACUUUUCAACGUUUCAUGUAUGUACAAUACCUAUAUACCUACGCUUCCGAGCUUUAAAACUGCAUCAGCCCACAACCCUUGAGCAUUUCUCGAGGACCCUCAGCGCAUCGCUGCUAUUUCCUAACUUAUUUUCUCCCUAUUUAAUGCCGGAUGUUGUCAUAUUUUUUAUUCUUAUUACGGCUGUCGUUUUUCUUUCCGAGCAAAUAAAAUUUUAGACAUGAUAUGCGACCUACAGGAUCUAGAAUCGUAUAGAAUGGGCUACGAUAACACAGAUGGAGAAUUAACGAUUGCUGAUCGUAAAGAAUAAACGAACGCAGUGCGGCCCAGAGAAACAAAAAGAAUGAGAGACAAAGAGAGACGGUUUUGUUUUCCACUCGGGAGAGCUCAUAAAGUGAAGGUGUUUCCUAAUGGAACACGACGUGUCAGGAUAAGCCGGAUACUGGAAAGGUAGAGACGGUAGUGAAUUGUGCAGUACCUCAACCUUCGAAUACGGUGUGUUUGUUGUGCAAAUAUACAUUCUUCUCCCUCCGGUAAUUCCCUCGUACGUAUUCCACGCACGUACCCUCCGAAUUACGUCUUGGUAGGCAUGCGAGAAUAUUUAACACUAUCGGAUGCGACCGUCGCAACUAUUUGAUAAAAUUUUUUGUAGUUCUUGGAUUCACAAGCCCUAUGCAUUGUACGUCGUUCAUACGGCGAUGCAAACGUAUCAGGCACGCCGUUUCUGCCAGACACGGUCGUCCAUUCAUCCCAUUUAAACAAUCUCUUUCCUUGAAAUCAAUUGUUCAUUUUUACAGGCAGGUAGCUUAUGCUUCUAUAGUUAACUACAAUAUAUAUCAAAAAAAGGAAAUAUUUACAGUACUUAUAUCCUUGUAUAGAAACUCCAACAGUCACGAAAUUUAUUUGAUUAAUGAUUUCACCACCUCACCGGGUCUGCAAACCAAGGGGGAAAAAGAUUCCACCUCUCGGUUCCGUGUACCGCUUACAACCUGGAUACAAUGAGAGAGACAUCGUUUUGAUGUCCGCUCUGAAUCUUCGAGGCAAAAUCGUCCAGCAAAAGUGCAUCGCUGCAGUACGGCGGAAAAUAUUUCGUUUCUGCCGCUGACGGCCGGCGGUACUUACUGUGUCUCUCUUUAUCCUCGUCCAGAACCGGAACUGAUUUUUCAAUAAUCUGGACGAGAGCCUGUCGAAGAAUUCCAUCGACCGUUGAGUUGGCUCACUCGCUGACAAAGGGGAUUUCUGCGUGUGUAUAUGCAACGGCUAAAUUCCCCAAAAUGCGCAAAUGCCGCAUUGCAGUGAUGUGCAUGGCGGAAAGAACGCGCCGGACGAACAUAUAUGCGUUUACAAGAGCGCAGGAGUUCUUUUCUUUCAAAACAGAUCUAUACCUACAUGGAUCCGUCAAAAUUUUCAAACGAAAUCUGACAACGGUACAAAAGUCAAGGGGCUUUGAUGGACACGUUGCCGUGCGUAGUAAGCCUCACUGUUUAUACCCUGGACCGGGUGGCCAAUUUUUAUAUCACCAGGUGCGUACAGAUCUCUUUUGGCGGUGAAAGCUAAAGUAAUGAAAUCUUAUGAUUUCAAAAAAGCGUAAGCCAAGUUCGGAGAGGACGGGGUGUUACUAUGUUCGGUUUUUCUAGAAUUUUGACUACCAUUUUAGUUGAUUUUUUACACACCAUUUGACAGUCUAAAUAAGAAGUAUAAUGAUUAGGAAUACGUGCGAUUAUGUCACCGGUAAAAUUAUGAUUCAAAGUUAUUAAGAGUAUUAUCUAUAAUGAUGCUACUUUACAAUAAAUAUAAACUACUUUUCA
Molecule: RNA transcript, 8086 nt
Organism: Neodiprion fabricii
Lineage: Eukaryota; Metazoa; Arthropoda; Insecta; Hymenoptera; Diprionidae
Gene: kat80
Gene name: katanin p80 WD40 repeat-containing subunit B1
Exons: 21
Source: RefSeq, a predicted model, not a curated record